GAUCAUGGCUCAGGACGAACGCUGGCGGCGCGCCUAACACAUGCAAGUCGAACGAGCGAGAGAGAGCUUGCUUUCUCAAGCGAGUGGCGAACGGGUGAGUAACGCGUGAGGAACCUGCCUCAAAGAGGGGGACAACAGUUGGAAACGACUGCUAAUACCGCAUAAGCCCACGACCCGGCAUCGGGUAGAGGGAAAAGGAGCAAUCCGCUUUGAGAUGGCCUCGCGUCCGAUUAGCUAGUUGGUGAGGUAAUGGCCCACCAAGGCGACGAUCGGUAGCCGGACUGAGAGGUUGAACGGCCACAUUGGGACUGAGACACGGCCCAGACUCCUACGGGAGGCAGCAGUGGGGAAUAUUGCACAAUGGGGGAAACCCUGAUGCAGCGACGCCGCGUGGAGGAAGAAGGUCUUCGGAUUGUAAACUCCUGUUGUUGAGGAAGAUAAUGACGGUACUCAACAAGGAAGUGACGGCUAACUACGUG
Molecule: ribosomal RNA, 479 nt
Filed under: uncultured bacterium
Lineage: Bacteria
Description: bacterial SSU rRNA
Rfam family: Bacterial small subunit ribosomal RNA
Source: RNAcentral